Non-coding RNA from Guyanagaster necrorhizus, 92 nucleotides. The record is from the annotation of a RefSeq genome assembly. NCBI's taxonomy places the organism in Eukaryota, Fungi, Basidiomycota, Agaricomycetes, Agaricales, Physalacriaceae.
GCCCGCCUAGCUCAAUCGGAUAGAGCGUCAGACUCUUAUCGUCUGAAGGCGGGUGAAUCUGAAGGCUGUGGGUUCGACCCCCACGGUGGGCU